RNAcentral lists this long non-coding RNA (531 nucleotides) under Setaria viridis. RNAcentral describes it as "long non-coding RNA (SVIR_LNC009724)". The record is from RNAcentral. Lineage: Eukaryota; Viridiplantae; Streptophyta; Magnoliopsida; Poales; Poaceae.
UCGUGGAGGAGGAGGCAUCCUCAGCAGAAGGACAAGGGCAUGAGGUGGAGGGCAGUUUCACAAGAGAGGUAUAUUUACGUUGUUGUGUGUUCUUUUUUGUUUAUGUAUGGUUUUAUUUCAUUUAUUAAUACUUCCAGAUAGCUGAAGCUAGUAAGCUGCUAAAACUUUUCAUAUUUAUUUUGCAGAUAGAGAUUUUGACAAUUUUGUAGUACUAUAUUUUAUAUGAAAUGAAGCUUCCAUAGUUUAGAUUUUUUUUUUGAUACGAGGUUUGCCCCAUUUCCAUUUCACAAUAAUGGAAAUUCCAGAAAGUUCAGGAUACAAGAAGUAACAAAAGAAGCAACCACCAUGAUCUAUCUAACCUGAUUCAAGCUAGACUAGACCCAUGAAUUCCCAAGAUUCCCAGGAUAGGGGCACAACAUGUUUCAGGAAACCUACGUCCCACCACCUGCCCUACUACAAGUUUUCUGCAACUUAAGAGAUAACAAAAGGCGAAGCUGGUCUCAUCACAACUUCUCACAAACCACCGUUUUU